CCUACGGGUGGCAGCAGUAGGGAAUAUUGGACAAUGGGCGAAAGCCUGAUGCAGCAACGCCGCGUGAGUGAUGAAGGCUUUCGGGAUGUAAAGCUCUGUCAGCAGGGAAGAAAAUGACGGUACCUGAGUAAGAAGCCCCGGCUAACUACGUGCCAGCAGCCGCGGUAAUACGUAGGGGGCUAGCGUUAUCCGGAUUUACUGGGCGUAAAGGGGGCGUAGGCGGGCAGUCAAGUCAGUGGUGAAAGGCCACGGCCAAACCGGGGUAAGCACUUGAAACUGGGGGACUGGAGUACAGGAGAGGUGAGUGGAAUUCCUAGUGUAGCGGUGAAAUGCGUAGAUAUUAGGAGGAACACCAGUGGCGAAGGCGGCUCACUGGACUGUAACUGACGCUGAGGCACGAAAGCGUGGGGAGCAAACAGGAUUAGAUACCCCAGUAGUC
This 439-nucleotide ribosomal RNA is filed under the name uncultured bacterium. RNAcentral describes it as "partial 16S ribosomal RNA". It matches the Rfam family "Bacterial small subunit ribosomal RNA", at positions 338 to 795 of the family's 1533-position model. The record is from RNAcentral.